RNAcentral lists this ribosomal RNA (250 nucleotides) under uncultured bacterium. Its description in RNAcentral is "partial 16S ribosomal RNA". It matches the Rfam family "Bacterial small subunit ribosomal RNA", at positions 524 to 773 of the family's 1533-position model. The record is from RNAcentral.
UACGAAGGGGGCUAGCGUUGCUCGGAAUGACUGGGCGUAAAGGGUGCGUAGGCGGCGUUGCAAGUCAGACGUGAAAUUCCCGGGCUCAACCUGGGGACUGCGUUUGAGACUGUGAUGCUAGAGGAUGGAAGAGGCUCGUGGAAUUCCCAGUGUAGAGGUGAAAUUCGUAGAUAUUGGGAAGAACACCGGUGGCGAAGGCGGCGAGCUGGUCCAUUACUGACGCUGAGGCACGAUAGCGUGGGGAGCAAAC